Molecule: unclassified non-coding RNA, 262 nt
Filed under: Leotiomycetes sp.
Lineage: Eukaryota; Fungi; Ascomycota; Leotiomycetes
Description: partial contains 5.8S ribosomal RNA, internal transcribed spacer 2, and large subunit ribosomal RNA
Rfam family: 5.8S ribosomal RNA (bases 1-71)
Source: RNAcentral
GUGAGUCAUCGAAUCUUUGAACGCAUAUUGCACUCCUUGGUAUUCCUUGGAGUACACUUGUUCGAGCGCCGUUUGCGUCCUAAGGCUCUGCCUUGUGUUGAGAUUCUCCUGGAAAGGGGCUCUCCAAGCAAAUGGGCGUCUGUCGUGCCUGAACCGCAACACACUGCGUGCCAGGGACGUCGGCAGGCGCCAAACCCGUCCAGCAUGGCCUCGGAUCAAGUGGGGAUACCCGCUAAACUUAAGCAUAUCAAUAAGCGGAGGA